This 490-nucleotide ribosomal RNA is filed under the name uncultured bacterium. Its description in RNAcentral is "partial 16S ribosomal RNA". It matches the Rfam family "Bacterial small subunit ribosomal RNA", at positions 29 to 507 of the family's 1533-position model. The record is from RNAcentral.
AGUGAACGCUGGCGGUAGGCCUAACACAUGCAAGUCGAACGGCAGCACAGGAGAGCUUGCUCUCUGGGUGGCGAGUGGCGGACGGGUGAGGAAUACAUCGGAAUCUGCCCAGUCGUGGGGGACAUCGUAGGGAAACUUACGCUAAUACCGCAUACGACCUUCUGGUGAAUGAGGGGGAUCGCAAGACCUCUCGCGAUUGGAUGAGCCGAUGUCGGAUUAGCUAGUUGGCGGGGUAAUGGCCCACCAAGGCGACGAUCCGUACCUGGUAUGAGAGGAUGAUCAGCCACACUGGAACUGCGACACGGUCCAGACUCCUACGGGAGGCAGCAGUGGGGAAUAUUGGACAAUGGGAGGAAGCCUGAUACAGCCAUACCGCGUGGGUGGAGAAGGCAUUCGGGUUGUAAAGCCCUUUUGUUGGGAAAGAAAUCUUUCAGGCUAAUAUCCUGGGAGGAUGACGGUACCCAAAGAAUAAGCACCGGCUAACUUCGUG